GUAGUCAUAUGCUUGUCUCAAAGAUUAAGCCAUACAUGUCUAAGUAUAAGCAACUAUACGGUGAAACUGCGAAUGGCUCAUUAAAUCAGUUAUCGUUUAUUUGAUAGUACCUUACUACAUGGAUAACCGUGGUAAUUCUAGAGCUAAUACAUGCUAAAAACCCCAACUUCGGAAGGGGUGUAUUUAUUAGAUAAAAACCAUCCUCCUCGGAGUUUGGUGAUUCAUAAUAACUUCUCGAAUCGCACGGCCUUGUGCUGGCGAUGCUUCAUUCAAAUAUCUGCCCUAUCAACUGUCGAUGGUAGGAUAGAGGCCUACCAUGGUAUCAACGGGUAACGGGGAAU
RNAcentral lists this ribosomal RNA (341 nucleotides) under uncultured eukaryote. RNAcentral describes it as "SSU rRNA". It matches the Rfam family "Eukaryotic small subunit ribosomal RNA", at positions 20 to 370 of the family's 1831-position model. The record is from RNAcentral.